AGGGUGCGAGCGUUGUCCGGAAUUAUUGGGCGUAAAGGGCUCGUAGGCGGUUUGUCGCGUCGGGAGUGAAAUCCACUGGCUUAACUGGUGGCUUGCUUUCGAUACGGGCAGACUGGAGGUAUGCAGGGGAGAACGGAAUUCCUGGUGUAGCGGUGAAAUGCGCAGAUAUCAGGAGGAACACCGGUGGCGAAGGCGGUUCUCUGGGCAUGUCCUGACGCUGAGGAGCGAAAGUGUGGGGAGCGAACGGG
RNAcentral lists this ribosomal RNA (248 nucleotides) under uncultured bacterium. Its description in RNAcentral is "partial 16S ribosomal RNA". It matches the Rfam family "Bacterial small subunit ribosomal RNA", at positions 529 to 776 of the family's 1533-position model. The record is from RNAcentral.